Molecule: long non-coding RNA, 2341 nt
Organism: Lolium rigidum
Lineage: Eukaryota; Viridiplantae; Streptophyta; Magnoliopsida; Poales; Poaceae
Exons: 5
Source: RefSeq, a predicted model, not a curated record
AUUGGAGGGAUGAGGCCAGGGGUUGAUGUGGAGCCAUGAAGAAGGUGGGAAACAGGGGCCAUGUGGGCGAGUUAGCAACAAGGUCCAUCCAUGAAGUGCGAGAAGGUAGUGGACGGGAGGCCAUGGGGCCUGUGGCCUGUGGGCAUGAGGUUGUUAGCAAAAUUUUAUCUCAUAGUAGCUUACUUUUAUAUUUCAGACAGUUAGAAAGUACAGUUCGUUAUCUGAGAUUUUGCAAGCAGAGUCGGUCUAUCUGGUACUCUGGGUAUUUCAUCACUCAAUCUUCUUGGUAUUUCAUCAAUUGGAGAAGGUAAUAAAUUUCAUAUCAUCACAGCGCUGUUGUGUUCCCAAACUUGAUUGAUUCUCGUGAUAUCUGCACCUUUGGUCAUCCAUGAGUUAACCCUUGAAGAACACAUUUUCGUCUAAAUUCAUGACCGGUAUAUUAACAGAAUCUAUUAGUCCCUGGACUGGAGUUUGAGCAUAAACGUGAGCUAAUACUCUGUUCAAAUUUUGCAAUAUCGUCCGGGAUAGCAUCAUGUAUAGGAAUCAAGUAGUUGACACUAAUAUUGGUGUGACUGUUGUAUAGCUGUACAACCUUGCACAUAUUUGUAGAUAUCAUGCCAUACACUGUAUAAGCUCAAUUCUAAUGUUGGUUUUAUAAGCUAUGGAUGAAGCUACUCUCUUGUGUAGUUCUAUGUAGGAAUGGAUAAACCAGCUGUUGCAUGUUAUGAAACCUGCCUGUGUUGGUUUAUUUACUGAAUUCAUUGGCCUACUAUAAACGUCCAAAUUUAUAUGCCUAUGUUUCACUCCUACCUUUAAUGUUCCCAUGCACAGUUUUGUCAAAUUUCGAGUUACUCUAUUCCAAAAGAGUAUGUAUACUUUUAUAUAAUUCCCUGUAGGAAUGAGUAAUCUAGCUAUAAUGUCUGAUACAAUAUCUACUCUUCUGUUAUAUGUUUCUGUCCAAGCAGCGGAAACUACAUAACAACAGAUAGGUGUGCUUUUUAUGAUUGCACACUCAUUUGCGACUUGGUUUAACAUAUGUAAAACAUAUGCACCAUAGUUGAUAUGAUGUUCCUACCUUUUCACAUUAUGCAGUGUUCUCUGUAGUUCCUCUUAAUAAUACCUCUUGUUAUCUCUGGGAUAAUCCAAAUCACUUCCUUGUCUGUAAUUCCUUAUUUUGCAUGUAUCUUAAAUAUUACUCUGAGCUUCUUAUCAGCAGUACGUGUGUUCAUUUUUGGCAUAAUCCAAAUGAGUUUCGUCCCAAUCUAUUAUGGCAUUUUCAUGAUCCUUUUGAAUUAUUGUUUGGUACAUUGUUACUUUCAGUGAUAUCCUCCUAAUCUAUUACAUAAUGGUGAUAGAACCUGGAAGAUGCAGUAUUUUAUUGGUCAUAUUUCUUUGUCCAUGAAUAGUCUUUAUAUAUCAGACCGUAUGUACCCAUAUGGCCAUGUGAUUCUGUUAUGACUGCCCAUGCUAUACUGAUGUCUAAUACAAGUAAAGUAACUGCAUUAUACCGAUGCCUGGUUGUGCAGACAGCUGCAACUCUACAUUUCAACAUUGAACUAAACUGAUAAGCUGAAGGCAUGUAGUAUUUUUUCUACCUUGUUUUACUGCUGAUGUGAGUUAAUCAUACUCUAUUCCUUGUGUUGAGCUUGCUGGUUCUGUAUUGAUUCAAUUUUUGUGUCACACCUCUCACCAUGGGAGGCAUCGGGCCAGCGGAGGCAUGUUGAUGGGGACCGACAUGUCUUCUCUGUGGAUGCCGUCACUGCCCCGAGUGGCGACCAGGGAGAUUUGGCCAGCAAAGAGGCAUGAUGAUGGGGACCGAGGUGUUUUCUUCGCAGACCCUAUCUCCGCCCUAGUAGGAUGGGGAAGUGGAGCUGCCCAGGAGGUAUCGGUGGCCUUCCUAUACGUCUUGGUGGUUUAUUAACUAGGUGAGUGUCGAGAUCCAUUGGUGAUGCUUACUUGAAGAAACAUGAGUAUAGCAUGGACCCUUUGUUUCGGCAAAUUGGUCCUGUUAUUGCAUUGGAGCGGACACAGGCCAUAGAGGUUUUCGGCGGUCCUAACAUAGUAGUGAUAGUGAUGAACAAGUAUCCAUGGCAAAUGGGAGUGACUUAUGAGGUUGGUGGCGUUUUUCCAGCGACAAGAUGGGACGGCAAUCUUCUGGGGGCGGCGAUCAGCUGGAGACGGUGGCGGGCAGCUUGAGUUUGUACCACAAGUUGUUUCAAUUCUUGAAAUCAUGUCUGAAUGUUUAAUAAAUUUCCGCAACUCUGAAUUAUGUAAGCUAUAUCCAGCCGUGUUCAUUGUAUAUGUGAGUAUGCUACAACUGAAGAAUACAUACAUUUGAUUC